GAAGGCCUUCGGGUUGUAAAGCACUUUAGGUAAGGAAGAAAAGUCAUUGGUUAAUACCCAAUGACCAUGACAUUACUUACAGAAUAAGGACCGGCUAACUCCGUGCCAGCAGCCGCGGUAAUACGGAGGGUCCAAGCGUUAAUCGGAAUUACUGGGCGUAAAGCGCGCGUAGGCGGUUUGACAAGUUGGGUGUGAAAUCCCCGGGCUUAACCUGGGAACUGCAUUCAAAACUUUUAAACUGGAGUACGGGAGAGGAGAGUAGAAUUCAUGGUGUAGCGGUGAAAUGCGUAGAUAUCAUGAGGAAUACCAAUGGCGAAGGCAACUCUCUGGACCGUAACUGACGCUGAGGUGCGAAAGCGUGGGUAGCAAACAGGAUUAGAUACCCUGGUAGUCCACGCCGUAAACGAUGACAACUAGCCGUUGGACUUUCGGGUUCAGUGGCACAGCUAACGCAU
Molecule: ribosomal RNA, 455 nt
Filed under: uncultured Gammaproteobacteria bacterium
Lineage: Bacteria; Pseudomonadati; Pseudomonadota; Gammaproteobacteria
Description: bacterial SSU rRNA
Rfam family: Bacterial small subunit ribosomal RNA
Source: RNAcentral